GAGCCGGCACCGUCUGGGCGAAAGGGAAUCCGGUUCCUAUUCCGGAACCCGGCCGCGGAACCGCUCCAAUUCGGGCCCUCAUCCGAGGACUCGUCGGGGUGACCCGAAAUGACCCGGAGAAGCCGUAGGGAGGUCCGGGGAGAGUUGUCUCUUCUCUAUAAGCGUUCGAGUUCCCUGGAAGCCUCUAGGAGGGAGAUAGGGUUUGGAACGCGAAGAGCACCGCACUUACGGCGGUGUCCGGAUCUUCCCCUCGGACCUUGAAAAUCCGGGCGAGGGCCACGAGGAACACCGCGCCGGCUCGUACCCAUAUCCGCAGCAGGUCUCCAAGGUGAAUAGCCUCUAGUCGAUAGAAUAAUGUAGGUAAGGGAAGUCGGCAAACCCGAUCUGUAACUUCGGGAUAAGGAUUGGCUCUGAGGAUCGUGGCGCGCCGGGCUUGGUCGGGAAGUGGAGCGGUGCCAACCUGCCGGGCCUGGGCGAGG
Molecule: ribosomal RNA, 479 nt
Filed under: Hamedius incarnatus
Lineage: Eukaryota; Metazoa; Arthropoda; Insecta; Hemiptera; Alydidae
Description: partial large subunit ribosomal RNA
Rfam family: Eukaryotic large subunit ribosomal RNA
Source: RNAcentral